This 71-nucleotide transfer RNA is filed under the name Ictidomys tridecemlineatus (thirteen-lined ground squirrel). RNAcentral describes it as "Spermophilus tridecemlineatus (thirteen-lined ground squirrel) tRNA". It matches the Rfam family "tRNA". From Rfam's summary of the family: Transfer RNA (tRNA) molecules are approximately 80 nucleotides in length. Their secondary structure includes four short double-helical elements and three loops (D, anti-codon, and T loops). Further hydrogen bonds mediate the characteristic L-shaped molecular structure. tRNAs have two regions of fundamental functional importance: the anti-codon, which is responsible for specific mRNA codon recognition, and the 3' end, to which the tRNAs corresponding amino acid is attached (by aminoacyl-tRNA synthetases). tRNAs cope with the degeneracy of the genetic code in two manners: having more than one tRNA (with a specific anti-codon) for a particular amino acid; and 'wobble' base-pairing, i.e. permitting non-standard base-pairing at the 3rd anti-codon position. Lineage: Eukaryota; Metazoa; Chordata; Mammalia; Rodentia; Sciuridae. RNAcentral also lists the same sequence under 1 other name. The record is from Rfam by way of RNAcentral.
GUGGUUGUAGCUAAGUGGUAGAGCGCUUGCCUCGCAUGCAUGAGGCCCUGGGUUUGGUCCCCAGCACCACA